CAGUCGCCGCGGUAAUACGUAGGUGGCAAGCGUUGUCCGGAAUUAUUGGGCGUAAAGCGCGCGCAGGCGGAUCAGUCAGUCUGUCUUAGAAGUUCGGGGCUUAACCCCGUGAUGGGAUGGAAACUGCUGAUCUAGAGUAUCGGAGAGGAAGGUGGAAUUCCUAGUGUAGCGGUGAAAUGCGUAGAUAUUAGGAAGAACACCAGUGGCGAAGGCGACUUUCUGGACGAAAACUGACGCUGAGGCGCGAAAGCCAGGGGAGCGAACGGGAUUAGAUACCCCAGUAGUCCCUGUCUCUUAUACA
Molecule: ribosomal RNA, 301 nt
Filed under: uncultured bacterium
Lineage: Bacteria
Description: partial 16S ribosomal RNA
Rfam family: Bacterial small subunit ribosomal RNA
Source: RNAcentral